RNAcentral lists this ribosomal RNA (377 nucleotides) under uncultured bacterium. Its description in RNAcentral is "bacterial SSU rRNA". It matches the Rfam family "Bacterial small subunit ribosomal RNA", at positions 521 to 896 of the family's 1533-position model. The record is from RNAcentral.
UAAUACGAAGGGUGCAAGCGUUAGUCGGAAUUACUGGGCGUAAAGCGUGCGUAGGCGGUUUCUUAAGUCGGAUGUGAAAGCCCCGGGCUCAACCUGGGAAUGGCACUCGAUACUGGGAAGCUAGAGUGUGUCAGAGGAUGGUGGAAUUCCCGGUGUAGCGGUGAAAUGCGUAGAGAUCGGGAGGAACAUCAGUGGCGAAGGCGGCCAUCUGGGACAACACUGACGCUGAGGCACGAAAGCGUGGGGAGCAAACAGGAUUAGAUACCCUGGUAGUCCACGCCCUAAACGAUGCGAACUGGAUGUUGGGCUCAACUCGGAGCUCAGUGUCGAAGCUAACGCGUUAAGUUCGCCGCCUGGGGAGUACGGUCGCAAGACUG